Molecule: long non-coding RNA, 1856 nt
Organism: Anolis carolinensis (green anole)
Lineage: Eukaryota; Metazoa; Chordata; Lepidosauria; Squamata; Anolidae
Source: Ensembl
AUAUAUUGAGUUGGACAAUAAAAACAAAUUACCCCCCCCCCCCCCCAACGGCAGCCUUUUGUAAAAAAAAGAAAGAAAGAAAAAGGUAAAAGCUCUUUUAAAGCAAGUUUGGGUAGAAUGAGAGCCAAGCCAAGAUUUUAUAUAGUGACGAGCUAGAUUUAUCCAGCUUGCCAUCUGUCAAAAUUAUAUUACAAAAGGCACAUAUGCAGAGAUACAAGACUACUGAUUUUCAUAUAUAUUAAAAUCGGCAACUACUGCAGGAUAUGAAAGCUGGCAAACUGUUAAGCCAAAAGGCUUACAUUUCAAACUUUUGGGAGUAUUGCUCUAAUUCAGCUCUGUCUCUGACACAGAAGCACCCACACAAAAUUGCAGGUAUUUUGUGAGCACAUAUACAUGCUCAUAUGUAAACACCUCAUUUUAGAAUGCUGCCAAAAUAACAUAUUAAUGCCAGGGAAAACAUGAAGCAAGAAAGAAACCCCACAUGUUUUGCAUUGGAAAUAAGGCUGGCUACAUUAAAUGCAUUAAUAUUCAAUGCACACAAAGGGCUUUGCCUGCUUCCGUACAGAGUGAUGUGCAUCAGUGAAGUGGUAACAUUGCAACGCACUAAUGGGUGUGUUGAACGUACGGCAGAGGUGGGUCAACAAGGAAGUUGGAAAGACAGAAUACAUGGCUAGGACAUCAUUGACAGCAACAUCUAGCAAUGUCCCUGAGAAUUACCCAGUCAAUUCAUGGGCAGAAAUACUCAGUACGAUUAUUAUUAUUAUUAUUAUUAUUAUUAUUAUUAAUAAUAAUAAUAAUAUUUUAUUAUGACACAGCAAACGAGAUAGAUAUGCUGGAUUUCGUUUCACAAAAUCACAAGUCGAACAUUUCCCAAGUGUCUAGGACUGUGUGAUGUAUUUUCGGAUGAUGUGCGCAGAUCCCAGUAGGGUGGCCUUUUGCAGUUGGCAGAUCGUGAUUUUGUCAAUGUCUAUUGUUUCCAAAUGCCAGCUGAGAUCUUUUGGCACGGCACCCACUGGGACCACCUGCACUGGUUUCUGCCAGAGUCUUUGAAGUUCAAUUUUGAGGUCCUGAUAGCGGCUGAGUUUUUCCUGUUCGUCAAUGUGACUGUCACCUGGGAUGGCAACAUCAAUGAUCCAAACCUUUUUCUUUUCUACAACUGUGAUGUCUGGUGUGUUGUGUUCCAGAACUUUGUCAGUCUGGAUUCGGAAGUUCCACAGUAUCUUUGCGUGUUCAUUUUCCAAUACUUUUGCAGGUCUGUGAUCCCACCAGUUUUUUACUGCUGGGAGGUGGUACUUGAGGCAUAAGUUCCAAUGAAUCAUUUGGGCCACAUAGUUGUGCCUCUGUUUGUAGUCUGUCUGUGCGAUUUUCUUACAGCAGCUGAGGAUAUGAUCAAUGGUUUCGUCGGUUUCCUUGCAGAGUCUGCAUUUUGGGUCAUCAGCUGAUUUUUCGAUCUUGGCCUUAAUUGCAUUUGUUCUGAUGGCUUGCUCCUGGGCUGCAAGGAUCAGGCCUUCUGUCUCCUUCUUCAGUGUCCCAUUCGUGAGCCAUAGCCAGGUCUUCUCCUUAUCAGCUUUUCCUUCAAUUUUGUCAAGGAACUUUCCAUGCAGUGUUUUCUUGUGCCAGCUGUCAGCUCUAGUUUGUAGUGCAGUUUUCUUGUACUGAUUCUUUGUCUGCUGUGUUUUGAGGAGUUUCUGAUUUUUGACUUCAAUCAAAGCAUUAUUAUUAUUAUUAUUAUUAUUAUUAUUAUUAUUAUUAUUAUUAUUAUUAUUAUUAUUAUUAUUAUUAUGCAACAUAACCGGGGUAUCAUUUCCCAAGUUUCAGAAAGAUUUGCACAUCUACUGAUUUUUAGGAAAUUUUAA